GGGAGGCUGAUGGGUGAGCCAGGCGAUGAGAGGGUCUGGACACACACAUUAUCUAAGUGCAGGUUUAACAAAAGCCCAGGCCACAGCUAUGAAAUUUUAAAUCAAAGCCGAUCCAGCAAACAACACAAGGCAGUCUGCAGAAUGAGCACAGCAUAAGAAAGCAAUUUACUGCUUCUUACACGUCAUCCAAAAAAAUGAUACAAGAGAGGCCGCGUCCUGUGAGAAGUCUAAUUUAGGCUGUUAGGGCAGACCAGGAGAGUGUUAGCUUUCCACAUGUUAACUUUUAUUAAAGAUAUUAACCUUGAGGAAGAGGCAGAGGAAGCUGUGUCAGUGGAGGUUAAGAAUUAACACCACCAGGGUGAGCAGUUAAAGAAGUAUUAUGUUGCUCACAUUCAGGAAAACCUCUUCCUUUUCUUUCUCCUUUGUGCAGCUUUUGGUAGAGGGCGAAACAGUAUCAACACUAAUAAGGCAAUAAUAUCAGUAAUUGCAUCCUCAAUUGUAAUUAUGGUGAUUAUGCAGUCCUCUUUGAUAUGCAGUUCUGCUCCAUUUUCUAUACCAGCCAUAUGUGAACAUGCGACUAUUAUGCUAAUCAUUCCACAUCCAAGUGUGCAAUUCUAAAGUGAAAUAAAGUUCACCACCUUGAGUAAGAAAGCCCAGUGAGAAAUGCCCCCCCCUAUGUUCAAACUUGGACCAUUAAGAAAUAAAAAUUAGGGCAUGGUCAGUUCUCAGUGUAGGUCUUUAAAGGAGGAAAUACCCCGCUUAUUGACUGUUGAAUGUUAAUUGCCCCAAAGACGAAGGCUAGAUAUAAACUAAAGAGCAAUGUUGACGCAUUCCAAAAUACUUAAUACUAUAAGACUGGCACAUAAUUAGACUUGGUCCAACUUUUAUGGGCUAUUUUGGCCCCUGCUAAUGGCUCUGUGCUCGGACUCAAACAGGCUAAUAAAGCAUAGUCUAGUGUAGUAGACUGGGCAUUAUUAAAAAGAGGCAGACACUAUUAAAGGCCAUCAAAUCCAUCUCAACAAGGCAACACAAUUUCAGUGCUGAGAGAGCGGUAAAACAAAAAGACAGCCUUUUCUAAUCUGUGGUUUAUUUAAUAUGUUUAUAGCAUGGGUGGCCAGUUUAAUGAGCAGUCUCUGGGCUACAUCUCUUCAGGGUUAUAAUAGAGAUCUGUUCCAGAAUCCACAAAGCAAAUACAGCACAACAACUGUGUAACGUCAAAAAUAUUUGGUCUCCAUAGUAACCCCACAGCAUUCAUAUAAGAAGUGAAUGUUCAAUGAAAGUGGCUUUUUCAUUGUUAUGGACUUCAACAUUCAGUUCAGGCUGUGGGGUCCCACUGGUAGGUCGCUCCUGCUGGUUUGUCGCUUUAGUUAAAGAUGGAUGGGAGUGGAGCGAAUACUGUUCUGACUUUCUCUCUGGUCUAUACAGAUGGUUUGGCAGGGUGACAAGACAAACUGGGUCUGGCAUCAAACCCCAACCUCUAUUUCAUGGUGGCUUAGCACUUUCUUUCUCACUAGAUUACACUUGCUGUGUUACGAGGGUCCAGCCCUUCAAACUGAUUUACUGAUCCAUUUUGCCAGAUAUCAUGGUGGAGAGCUUGUGACAGGAGAGCAAAUAAGAACUGAUCAAAGAUACCCCAGUCCAAGUCAAUCCACAACUUUCUUUAUUCAAUGCAACUGCAAUUCAUUUUGGAGGUGUGGUAUUCAUGUCAAGACUGAUCCGUUGAUUAGAGCCAUGACUGCUACAUGAGAGCAUAAUGUGAUACGCAUUGUGCAAAUGAUUGUGAGGGCAUGAGCUUCUCUUCACAUGGCCUUUUCCCCAGGCCCAGGCUGAAAGCCACUAACACGUAAAGUGCAGUACACACUCAACCCACAGAAAAACACAUAUCUUUUCAAGAAAUGGGACAAGAGCCUGGGAUUUCCUGGAUUUCUCUGCGGGCCACAUUCUCCACCACAUAUACACAUGCAUGAGAAGCUUCAUAAACCACAUGUGCAGAGACACACACAUAGACGGAUUCAGCCAGCAGAGGAAUGAGGUGACUCAUACUGUUCUUUUAACUGUGGUGGGAGAGGUGUGAUGUUGCCUCUGUCUAUCGUGCUUCAGACUGAUAAUGAACAGACUGUGGAGGUUAAAAGGGUUUACUAAAGGGAAUGAAUUAACAAUUUAUUUGUAGGAUUACUUAUCUCCACUGGUAAUUUCUCACACUACACCUCUGGGCAGGAGUGUGUCCAAAACUCAUGUCUUUCAACUGGAAUGUAAAGAAUUCUGUUUCUGAAAGUUGAUUUAUUUUAGAGGUGAAAGAUGCAUUUUUAAUUCCCAAAAUGGGCCUCAAGUGCAACAGAAUUAGACCUAGGUGUCUGUCUGAAGGAUGUGUUGGAUACGUGGUCUAUUGGUGCAUUAUUAUUAUUUAUUCAUUUAUUUACUUAUUUUGUAACACAAGACAGAUAUAUUAACAGGCUUUUACUGGAGGGACAUAAUUAGAAAACUGUAGAACUCUCCUUGAAUGCAGUUCAGAACAACAUUUAAAAAAAUGUAUUUUUACAUUCAUAGCAUUUCAGAUAUGAAUGAAACUCAUAAACAACAAAUUAUGUGCAAUGUCUUUGUGAUGCAGAAAAUGUGGCUUAUUUUUUAAAAAUCUUUUUUAAUUUUUUAUUUUUUUACUUAUACCGAAUAUUUGAAUCAGACAGUUGAAAUAAUGCAUGUCCAACACUGGGAUGCCAGAAAUUGGAUUUUACCGCCAACAAAAAGGUUCUGCCCUAACACCAGAUAUGCAAAGCGCAAACAUAUCUUUAAGUAGUGAAUUUAAAAAUUAAUUUUUGUGUUGUUGACUUUAAAAGCCAUAUUCAUUCUUCAGAGUGGCUAAGAGAGGGCUAGUAUACCUUGUUAUGCCACUCAAAGGCACACUGUGUAAAAAUGGGAAAAUAAAGCAAAAUAUAUCAGUCGGGCCGUCAGUGAAACGCUAUAACAAAUACAAAUGAAAAAUACAUGCAUAGUAUGUUGCUAGUUUGUCGGCUCAGUGCUACCAUAUUAACAUGACAGUGAAAGACUGUGGCACUAGUAAAAGGAGACCCUCAACAAUAGAUGUAGGUAUAUAGACAUGUACCAAGCAGGAGGGUUUUUAUAAUCAGGUUAUUAAAUAUGAAUUUAAACAUCAUUAAGAACAUAAAGAUCCAUUCCUACCAAGUUUAUUCAGCUAAAUACCCCUCAAUUUCAACUGCACCUAUGAUAUAGUCAAUAUAACAUGUUGCAUUAUUACUACAUGUAGCCACAUCAUUGGAGGACACAUGUCAAGACUUAUAUACAGAAACAAAGGAGCCUCCAAUGAGUCUCCUAUUUUUGGCUCCCUACACUUUCUUUACUUCUUUGCUGAUGGAUUAUACAGAACCAACAGGUGUCCAAGGGGGAUUCUUCUUCCUGAUUACACGGAUGGUUCACUUAACCAUUACAUUGAGUGGGGUAUGCGUACACACAGAAGGAACUCUUUUGAUUACUUAUUACUUAACCUGUAAUGGAUUCUUCCCCUUUUUCUCUGCAUGUCCUGCUAUCCCCCCAUCUCACUACUCCAUCCACCCUUCUAAAUAAAUGGAAAAAUAUUCAGUGCCCUGGGCUACUGCUGAACUUCUCACUCUCUGCAUCCAAUUUGAAGCGGAGCUGCUGUGAUGUCACCAGAGCGUCUGAAUAGAGAGAAAGAGGAGAGGGGAGGAGGCCAUGAUGAAGGGAACAAGAGAGAAGAGCUGGCAACCUUCAGACCUCCAAGGUCACACUUCUUAACCCCGCUGCUAAAAAUCCAAUAACACUUUAUGAAUGUUUUAGUUAGACGUUGUUAAUGCAGCUGAGCAUCUGUUUCCAAAAGAAUACAAAUGAGGUGCUGUCUUGCUCUACACUUCCCCAGCUUCUCACACACGAAACACACACACACAUGCAAUGCGCCUCAGGGCACAACAUCCCGAUGUUCAGAGGGAAAGUGGCCCCUAUGACCAGGACUCCACAGCGUUAACUCAGAACCAUCUUGUUGGAUUUGACUGGCUGCAUAUUUAAAAUCAAUGCUCAGGUUAAACAUCUGGCCCUUUAAAUUCAAGGUUGAUCAGUAAGCAACUAUGUUGCAAACCACACUGCUGCUUUGUACAUUUCUAACUAAAGUGAGACCUCAAGAAAAAAGGAGGGUUUGCAUCUUACUAUCUGUUUAAAGGUCCAGACCUGCCUUUCUCCACACUGUGUAUCCUCUCAAAUAAACCAAUAUAUGUUAUAAGUGUGAGCUUGGUGGCUGAGAAAGAAACUUGGCCCCAAAGUCAAGGUUGUUUGAAAUAUUCUUUGGUGAAUUCAACCCAAAGGUUUUAGUGGCACAGGCUUCCAGUAGAGGUCUGAGUGCUGCAGACCUCGGAGUGGAUUAAGUGGUAGACCUAUAUUUCCAGAUAAAACAGUCUCUCAAGCAUGACUCAAUACCAAACACUCCCCGACACACUCGGCAAGCUACAUGUUCAAUCCAAUUGGUAGAAAUAAAUUCAAUACAACAGAAAGCCUGCAUUAAAGUAGAGUGUUGGUUUUUGUGCAUCUGUGUGUGUAUCGUGCACAUGCUCUGCAACACAAAAGUGAGUAAGAAGGCUCAGUGGUUUAAAUAAGCCAGCAGGGUUGUGUACCCUCCUAUUUGCCAGAGUGGGAGCUUGUGGUCACAGGAGAAAAGGCCACGGGGAAGAAGGGAAUAGAGGUGUCGCAGUGGCCGUGAUGAUGAUGGAGUGUCUACAAAUAUGACUCCAAACAGGGUCAUUUUGAUUUGGCAGCAGAACGCGAAGGCUGGCCCGUUAACUCCUGACCUUUUGAGUGUGACCUGUGGGGGAGGGGUCUAUCCGCCUGGAGAGGACAGAAAGAAGGGGAGAAAGAAAGAGAGAGAGGGGCUGUGCAGUGUCAGGCCCAUUAUGACCCGCUAAAAACUCAGGCCGCUCUCCGGCGAGGAGCCAUCCAUCAUCUGGGCCUCUCUAAUCAGCAUGUUUGUCACUGUAACUAAACAGUGGGCUGAGCCACAUCACCACGCUAUUGGCCCUGACAGGGAGAAAUAAAUCUGCUGCCGGCCAAUGGGCUGCAGGCAGCCGAGCGUGACAGGAAAGGUGACAGACUCUUGAGGUCUCAACUAGUGCGAGAUUAAGGGGAACUAGCCUCGACUCUUGGGCGGAGGAAACAUUUGAACAGUUUUACUGGUCUUUAGGCAGCAGUCGGGGCUGGGGCUGCAGUGGUGUGGGUGUUGAAUGUGAGAAUGCCUUUGUCCCACUCUGGCAGCAGACAGGUCCAUUUGUUCAUUUAGGAGAAACUCGGGUUCUCUUUGUAAAAGGUAACAGAUAGAUGUUCUGUUCGCCUCCCCCAUGACAUCUCAGGAGUAAAAAUCCUUUCUGUGGUGGUCACACAGGAUUAACCCUGACAUAUUCUUCAGCUGCAAAUGCUUCUCAGACAAACAAACUUGAUCAUAGGAAAGUCUACAACAUUAUUAUUUGAACACAGAUCUAUAAUCACUACUCCUCUGGACAAAACUCUCACUUUCACUGUAACAGGGUCCUCUGAUAACAUUUUUUGGGGGAAGUAUAUAAGCGUGUCCUCAUUCUCUGCAAAGGCACAUAAGCCCAUUGAGCCUGCUCACUGUUGUUUUGUUUGGUUUUGUCUGGCCCUUUGCUUACAUCUCUGCGUGCGGGCUGUACACAGAAGCUGAAAACGCUGCAGUUAUUUGACCACUUGGAGCAGGGACCUUUUUUCCACUCACUGCAGUUAACAACCCAAAAAGAAAGAAAACACAUUUUUCCCAACGAUGCAAUGUCAUUUACUACCAGCAGCUUCAAACAACAGAAUUCUGGGAAAUCUCAGGAAAUCACAACUAGCACUGUAAUUCUGAAGGUUUGAUGGCUUACUUCAUAACAUUGAAUUUCUCACUUUCUCCUCUGGUCCUCAGAAAACCUAGUUCUAUAUGUGUUUUACUCACAGUCUUCUUAUAGACAGUGAUGCACAUAGUCUGACUUUCAUAUCUGUCACAGCCUCAUUAUUUGCAGUACUUCAUUUCCCAAAAUACAUCAUGGAAAAGGCAAACAAAAAGAGGAAGAAGGUGUCUAAAAAGUAAAGGUUUAGCAAUAUGGAGCUGUAGUUUCAUAGCUUUCAUAGCAAAAAUACAACGAUGAAAGAUUUUGACAUUGACUAAUGUUUGAAAUUUUCUCCAAUAUUGGUCCAUGCUUGUGAAUUGUACUUAAGUAGGUUUGGUUUUAAAGUAGGUUUUAAAGACAUACAGUGCCUUUCUCCUACUCAGGUACAGAAACAGAUUCUCUGAGUAAGAAAAAAAAAUAAAUAAAUAAAUAAAUAAAUAAACUUUGGCCGCUACAAUCAAUAAUUGCCCUGUGUCACUUUAUAAUCAUUUCAUAAGAAGCGUGUUUGACUUUUUUUUAUAGCUCUGGUAAUGACCCCGGAUCAUAUUUCACUCUCUGCAGGUUUCAGUGGUGGCAGUGGCGGGUUGCAUGGAGGAGGAGAACCUGCAUAUACUCAUUGCUGCAAAGUAAAAUGACACUAUAUCAAAUCAAGCAUUUCCAUAUGUGGACUGUUGCUGCUGUUGUGGGUUUGGCAGCAUAGAAGCGAGGAAACAGACCAAAAGAUGGGCUGUGCUCUUGGGUUCAGGGAGAGAUGAGGGGAUUCUGUGAUCUCUGGAGCCUCCUACUGAGAGAAAACAGGAACUGUCAAACAAGGGACUGUUGAAGCCCAUGCUGAGCGUUAUUGCUGAGCUCUAUCUUAGCUGGUUUAACUCAGAUUUAAAAAAAAAAAAAAAAAAGUUCUCUGGUCUGCAGGCCAAAGACAUGAAAUAUUCUGAAAAAAUAUUAAAACAUGUUUCAGAUAACAUACAUCAAUUAAUGUAGUUAUAAAACCACUUUUUGCCCAAAUCCUUUGACCUCCAAGGCAGCUGCAGUGACUGUUGAUCAAAUAGUUAAACUCAGAAACAGAAAUGAAGGGGGAUAUAAAUGCAUGGGUCUGAAGAACAGACUCACUUUGAAAAGUUAAUAACAACUGCUUUACCAUUAGACGAGGGAAUUCAGUCCAUAAAUCUCAAGGGCACUUGAGACUUGUCUGGAGGCCAGUGAAGAUAAUUGGGCAGUGUUCUGCAGUGUUGGCCUCUCCACUGUAAGAGGAUGUGUUUCACUUAGACAGGAGCCACAUGUUGUCAACCUUCGCAGAUUCACGGAAAAAGGUCAGCAUGACCCUCUUGACUCUCAUCAGAAGUUGUCUGCAUGGGCAGGAAAAAAAACACGCACACACACACACAUCCGGGAGAACAUCUGUGUAACCCCAAACUUUCCAAGAUGGUUGAGUUCUUUCUUUUUUUCGAGGUAAUAGAGACAUUACCGCUUCAAAAUUAAAUUAGCCAUUUUGCCGCGGUGUGGGUCAGCGGCUCAGGCAGUGGUCUUUUACUGGAAGCUACCCUUUGCCAAGCUUGUCUUUGCAGACAUAAAUUAGGCCAGCAGUGCUUGGCUACAACAUGUCAGGAGCUAAACGAAGAUUGAGUGAUGAGGUCGAACAGGGGAGACUGAGGACCAUGAUGACUGCUAGAAUGGUGAAACUUUUGUCCUUCAUUCUCCCCCUUGUUGAUCCCCUGCUACCCACCUAAAAUAAAGGAGGAGGGGCCCUCCAGUCCCCUAGUACAUGAGUUGGCACAAGUCUGAGCUCAGGAAGUCCAGGAGACGCCUCUGCCUGCCCUGAGAGUGAAACCUAAAACCUGUGACAUAGCCAAUACAUGUCAUAUUCUUUCAGUCAAGAAUGGUUUAUUUUUGAAGGAAUUUCAGCGUAAAACCUGUUCUUCAUAGUUACCCUGAUUUGUUUAAAAAACCAAGGUGGAUAGGUCUGGUCGAAUUGCCAACAAGAGACCACUGUUUUGUUUGGUUGUUAAAAAAAAAAAAGUUUUUCAUCAGGACAUUAUAUUUCUCCCUUCCAAAACAAUGACAAAAUGUCUUGUUCUACAGUGAAAACAGUGAAUAUCUUUCCAGGAGUUGGCAUCACAUCCAAAUUUUCAGCAAAUCUGUUAUAAAGGAGAAAUAUUAGGGCAUAUUAUAAAAACAGACAGAGUCACAUAUAUUCAGUCGGAGUGCCUACAGGGGCCUGGAGCUUCUCCAGGUGCUGUUCUCCAUCUAAACAACCAAAGCCAACUAAUAGGCCAGGACGAGACAGAUCCUUCAGCUCUCUGCUUUUGGCUGAAUCUCACUACAAGUCUCAAGAAGACAUUUUUAUGCAGAGGAACAACAAAAGCAACUGGACGUUCUCCAAGAGCUGAGUUGACACAGAUUGUAGGAAACAUAUUUAAACUUGUGCAACUGAAAGGUUGAAAUCGUCUAUAAAAUCUUUUUCUACUUGUUUUAAAUUACAAACACAAGUACUUCUGCCUGCCGAUUAACUGCUGAAACUUUACAUGAUUCAAAUAAUAUCUGGCUUCCCCACAUGAAAUGGUGUUUGUAAGCAGGCUAAUGACAAAUGUUAAUCUUCUUGUGCAGCCUUACUGUACUGCUACAUGCAGAAGUAAACAGAGGAUAUUUUGGAUAUAUCCUCUUUUCUCCUUUUUUUAUUUUCUCAUCAAUGCACUUCUCACAUACAGGCUCCAAAUACAAAUAAAACUUCUAUGAUAACAACCCAGGAAAUAACUGAUUUCUAUCAGGACACUCUUAGUUCAAUGUAGCCGUGAUUCAGUGCUGUAACCGGGAGACUAUUUGUUGAGACUCAUCAUUUCAGGGGACGAAGGAAGGAUGAAAAGAAGAAUACUUGAAAGACAAAAAAUUUCCAAUGAAAAAAUAAAUAAAUACAAUACUUAAAUCAACCACUUUAAGUAAACGAAAAGUACGACUUUUAAAAGGUCAGGACACAUUAAAAAUUUAGAAUUACACAUGUCUGAUUUUUUACUAUCUACUUAACACAUUUUGAAUCGAAACGCUCCCUCACAAGCUGGUUAACACUGAUUCUCCCCUGUUGUUGUGGUAAUUGAAAAAAAAAUGGAUCAAUUAUCAAAACAAAUGAUGAGUAUGUAGAAAUAACACGUCAUCUGCUUCCCUGAGACCUGGAACACCUAAAAACACCCAUUCUACUACUUUUUUUUUUUUUUUUUAACUAUUAAAGUUUUUCUUCAGUGGUCUUUAAAUUGUGAUUAUUAAGCUUUUAGUGAAAAUCACGUUACCUGUGUCAUUUUCAAGAGAUUUUCUUCUGCAGAGCUCCUGUAGCUCAUUAAGCAUUUGCCGCUCAGUUGUGGGUGGAGACAGAACCGCUCUUCACGUUAGCUUGCAGCCUAACAUUGCCGGUGUAGUAGAAGUGGCAGGUCACAUAGGAGCUAUUCAGCUCUCGGACACUAAUGUCUUUGGGGACAUGAUGACAGUUAGUAUCAUAAUUAGCUUCUUUUACAAGCUUUGUAAUCCACUAACCCACACGCUUGUUCAGCAAUCAUCCUCUCAACCUCUCACAGUCUGGCCUCCAUAGCAGGGCUCUCGGGUUGGAGCUUGCAUUUGUUACAUAGGACAUUUCACUGUUUCUGAGCCUGCCGUUUUGGUCUGCUAGAGAUUCACAGUGAUUUGAAUCCAGAAACACUCAGAAAUGCAAUUUCACACUUAUUUUUCUCAUUAUAUGUCCCCUAGCAUAAAAAAAUGCCAUAUGAACAUGUAGGCAACCAGAAACACAUGAUUUUCAUCGGAGUUAAACAAAAAUUGCAGUAUUUAAGUCUUCCUUUUUGGCUUGGAGUUCCAUGUAUCUUAAGACUUGGCACAUUUUUAUGAACUGAACAGUUAGCUGAGAUAAUGAAGUCCUUCCUCUGUGUAAUGAAAGUACCUGCUCGUGGUGAAUCACACUCGCAGGGGGAGAAGAACUGAGCACAGACUGUGAGUUACCUGUGAUCAUUUACAUCUUAAACGUGUAGCUAUAAAUGCAGAAAUUUGUGCCAUUUUAGGUUUAAACGUCCUACUGGAAGGGUUACGAUUUCAAACAUGACCCAUAUGAGUAGACCAUACAUCACUAUCACAUUUCUACUGAUAAAUCUUCUACUACAUGCCAACUUUAAAGAAGUCACCUAUCAGUAGUCAAAGAGUAUACCUGCAACCAUCGACUGCAGCCGUCUUCUUUCUCUUCUCUAUCCUUUGGAUGUCAGGAAAAAAAAAUGUGAAUGAGUUUUUAGACUCUGAUUUCCUAAAUACAGUGAACACUGAACUAUCCUAUACUGAGAAAUUGAAUUCCAUCUAUUCUUGAAAUUUAGAAUUUAUUUCGAAAUUUUUUAACAUGAACAUAUUUUAGGUAAAAUGAAUUCACUCUACAUUGCCUAUUGGUGUGACUGUGUACCCUUGUGUGUGUGUGUGUGUAUGUGUGUGUGUGUGUGUGUGUGUGUGUGUGUGUGUGUGUGUAUGUCAGUCCUGUGAUCGAAUGGCAGUUAUACCCUGCCUCUUACCCAGUAACAACUGGGAUAAGCUCCAAUGCCCCCAGCUCACCCCAAAAGGGAUUAGCAAUACGGAUAAUGGAUGGACAGAUGAAUGGAUGGAUCAUUUAGAUUAGACCAAAUGUAUUUUGUAAUCAAACUAUUAAUUUAACCCUUUAAACCCUUUAAAAUAAUGGUUAAAGCAUAAGAAAAUGUAAAUUGGGUAAUGAAAAAUAAAAAAAAAAUACACAUGUAGCAUGAGCAUCUUACAUUGUUUGAGUAUCAUUGGACCCACAACAAAAGAGCUGCGCUCUAUUGGCAUUCAUACUGUCAAAUAUCAGACAGUCAAAAUAAGAAUCAGAAAGAAAAAGUUUGUGAAAAAUGACCAGAUUAAUAGGUAUACAAGUACUGAUAUGAGUUAUUAGCUUUAUAGUUCAUUAAAAAAUCCCCCUAUGCCUUUCAAAGUUCUUAUUCCACUAUCAACACCAAGUUGGUGAGGCUUGGUGUAAAACAUGGUGGAAGGGUAGAGGCUCCGCUCUUCUGUUUAAAAAAAACCCUGAGGUAUUAGGGUGGACUAAUCUUUAAAAGGUUAAUUUAUUCAUAGAGAUUUUGACAGAGAUGUAUGGCCCAACCAACAUCCCAGGCACCUCUUCCCAGAGGGAGACGACUUGUGCAAAGAACAGCGAGGGAGAGAAGGAAGAGGAGGGGGUGGGGGGGGGUGGGGGGCAGAAAGAUGGAGUGCUGCAGAGAGACAGAGUGGAAAGUCAACAUGCUAUAAACACAAACACAUAAUUACCUCACAGGGGCUGACAAUGACUCUGGCCUUUAACCCAGCACACUUAAAGAUCUCCAAGUCUGUCCUUUCAGCUCAGGAAAUGUGUACUCAGUUUUAUUGCACAUAUAAUGUUGAAAUACUAAAACGAGUUCAAGUAUAAAUGGAUGGCACAAAAAUAUGUUAGCAGAUAGUUUUUCACAAAAUGUUCUCAAUCAGCAGUGUCAUUUUUACAGACUAUUUACAGUUUAUACUGACCACUCUAAGUCACCAUGUGUGUUGAGGAUAAGUGAUUUUUCAACGUUUUUGAAUCACUAAUCAGAAUGUAAAGGUUUUUUUGUUUUGUUAUGUGUGUUCAUUGUGAACAGAUGGAGACUUUAUAGACAGUUAAACUACCAGAAAAGACUUGAAUAACCUUAGAAUACUGAGUGCAAUGGGAUGGAUUGUGGAGGUGUUAAAGGGAUACUACGGCAUAAAUUUAAGCCUUGGUCAAACACACUCUAACACCGAGUUAGACCCCCCUCGAGAGAUGAAUGUUGCAGACUGCUUGCUUUUCUAGUUAUACCAACUUCAGCAAUUACCGCAUGAUAGCAAUACACAGCGGUCUGCGUUUCCAUGACAGCCUGUGUCAGACCCCUUCUGAAGAGAAACAACUUGGAUUAUCAGCAAUACCUGAUAAUUACAGACCUGUGUCCAACCUGCCAUUUUAAGCAAAAUUUAAGAAAAGAUUGUUUUCAACCAGUUGAAUGAUUUUAUGACUUUUAAAAAUAUCCAUGAAAUAUUUCUAUCUGUUUUUUUUUUUUUUUUUUUUUUAAAUCACAGUACAGAGACAGCACUGGUCAAAACUGUAAGUGACCUCAGGUCCAACAUGGACAAGAAAUUAAUCUCUGUUUUAGUUCUGUUGGACCUGAGUGCAGCCUUUGACACAGUGGAUCACACAUUUCUCUCAAACAGACUUCAUAGCCUCAUGAGCAUCUCUGGUACUGUUUUUAACUGGUUCAAAACAGGAAAUUGUAUGUUAGCGUUGGGGAAUGCUCAUCAAAAACAUAUGAAAUGGAAUGUGGCGUUCUCCAGGGCUCAAUUUUAGGUCCAACACUUUUUAAUCUCUACAUGUUAACAUUGGGAGAUGUCAUCAGGAGGCACAGCAUCAGAGUUUCACCUCUAUGCAGAUGACA
Non-coding RNA from Xyrichtys novacula (pearly razorfish), 12337 nucleotides. Lineage: Eukaryota; Metazoa; Chordata; Actinopteri; Labriformes; Labridae. The record is from the annotation of a GenBank genome assembly.